Molecule: ribosomal RNA, 416 nt
Filed under: uncultured eukaryote
Lineage: Eukaryota
Description: SSU rRNA
Rfam family: Eukaryotic small subunit ribosomal RNA
Source: RNAcentral
CCAGCAGCUGCGGUAAUUCCAGCUCCAAUAGCGUAUAUUUAAGUUGUUGCAGUUAAAAAGCUCGUAGUUGGAUUUCGGGUGGGUUGCAGCGGUCCGCCUCUGGUGAGUACUGCUUCGGCCUACCUUACUGCCGGGGACGGGCUCCUGGCCUUCACUGGCUGGGACUCGGAGUCGGCGACGUUACUUUGAGUAAAUUAGAGUGUUCAAAGCAAGCCUACGCUCUGAAUACAUUAGCAUGGAAUAACAUGAUAGGACUCUGGCCUAUCUUGUUGGUCUGUAGGACCGGAGUAAUGAUUAAUAGGGACAGUUGGGGGCAUUAGUAUUUCGUUGUCAGAGGUGAAAUUCUUGGAUUUACGAAAGACUAACUUAUGCGAAAGCAUUUGCCAAGGAUGUUUUCAUUAAUCAAGAACGAAAGU